GUUGUAAGGUUAAGUGAAUAAGCGUACACGGUGGAUGCCUAGGCAGUCAGAGGCGUGAAGGGCGUGCUAAUCUGCGAAAAGCGUCGGCAAGCUGAUAUGAAGCGUUAUAAUCGACGAUACCCGAAUGGGGAAAACCAGUGCAAUUCGUUGCACUAUCAUGUCAUGAAUACAUAGUGGCAUGAGGCGAACCGGAGGAACUGAAGCAUCUCAGUACACCGAGGAAAGAAAUCAACCGAGAUCCCCCAGUAGUAGCGAGCGAACGGGGAAGAGCUCAGAGUCUGAAUCAGCUUGUGUGUCAGUGGAAGCGUCUGGAAAGUCGCACAGUAAAGGGUGAUAGUACCGUACACGAAGACGCACAGGUUGUGAGCUCGAUGAGUAGGGCGGGACACGUGUAAUCCUGUCUGAAUAUGGGGACCAUCCUCCAAAGCUAAAUACUCCUGACUUACCGAUAGUGAACCAGUACCGUGAGGGAAAGGCGAAAAGAACCCCGGCGUGGGGAGUGAAACAGAACCUAAAACCGUGUACGUACAAGCAGUAGGAGCAUCCUUCGGGGUGUGACUGCGUACCUUUUGUAUAAUGGGUCAGCGACUUAUAUUCUGUAGCAAGGUUAACCGCAUAGGGAGCCGCAGGGAAACCGAGUCUUAACUGGGCGUUAAGUUGCAGGGUAUAGACCCGGAACCCCGUGAUCUAGCCAUGGGCAGGUUUAAGGUUGGGUAACACUAACUGGAGGACCGAACCGACUAAUGUUGAAAAAUUAGCGGAUGACUUGUGGCUGGGGUUUGAAAGGCCAAUUAAACUGGGAGAUAGCUGGUUCUCCCCGAAAGCUAUUUAGGUAGUGCCUCGUGAAUUCAUCUUCGGGGUAGAGCACUGUUUCGGCUAGGGGUCAUCCCGACUUACCAACCCGAUGCAAACUAUGAAUACCGAAGAAUAUUAUCACGGGAGACACACGGCGGGUGCUAACGUUCGUCGUGAAGAGGGAAACAACCCAGACCGCCAGCUAAGGUCCCAAAGUCAUGGUUAAGUGGGAAACGAUGUGGGAAGGCAUAGACAGCCAGGAUGUUGGCUUAGAAGCAGCCAUCAUUUAAAGAAAGCGUAAUAGCUCACUGGUC
RNAcentral lists this ribosomal RNA (1109 nucleotides) under Candidatus Symbiopectobacterium sp. Chty_BC. RNAcentral's name for it is "partial 23S ribosomal RNA". It matches the Rfam family "Bacterial large subunit ribosomal RNA", at positions 1 to 1150 of the family's 2925-position model. Lineage: Bacteria; Pseudomonadati; Pseudomonadota; Gammaproteobacteria; Enterobacterales; Enterobacteriaceae. The record is from RNAcentral.